UAUCUCUUCUCCUCUUCCAUCCCUCAGCUCCGCCACCACCGUCUUUCUCCACCUCUUUUCCGCGGGACUUAAUGAUGAUCAGGUGGAAGAUAUCAAAUCUCUACUAGUUACUCUGUCCAAAUGAUUUUUCUUGUUAGAUUCAUAAACUUCUGUUAUAUUUGGUAAUGGUGGUGGUGGUGGUGGAGGUGGCGGCGGUGGAGAAGGAUAUUAGAUCUCUGUUCUAGUCAUUGACGGUGGUGGUGGUGAUGAAAUUCAGAGAAGAGAGAUGAGUGACGGCUUCAGGUCAAGAAGAGAGAUCGAUGGUUUUGAUAUGAGGAUUCAUGAAACAAAGAAAGAAGAGAGAUCGAUGGUGUUGAUGAUGGUUUCUACAAGGACUGGAGUCGUGACUUCUCUUGUGGCAAAAAAAGAUUCAAAAGUACAUAAGAGAUGAUCAAUUUCCUUUUCGGGUUGCAUUUGUUGUUGUUUUUCCAGUUCUUGAUCCUUACAAAUUAUAUGAUAUCUAUCAAGAUGAACUUGUGGUGCAAUGGUGACACAACUGACUCUACAUCAGAAAAUGCGUGUUCGAUUCACAUCAGGUUCACUAAUUUUAGUACAUUAAUUUUUUGGAUCAACUUUGGGUGUUGACACCAGAUCUUGGGAUCAACUUCGGUUGUUGAUACCAGAUUUUGGGAUCAACUUUGGUUGUUGACGCCAUAUUAUUUUUUUUUCUUUAUUUUUCUUAUUUUCUGAUUUUUGUUUUGGGGAUCAAUUUCGGUUGUUGACACCAGAUUUUGGGAUCAACUUCGAUUGUUGACGCCAUAUAUUUAUUUUCUGAUUUUUUUUGGGGGAUCAACUUCGAUUGUUGACAUCAGGUUUUGGGAUCAACUUCGAUUGUUAACAUCAGACUUUGAGAUCAGCUUCGGUUGUUGACGCCAUAUGACCUUUUUAUGAUUUUUUUAUUUUUGUUUUGGGAUCUAACUUCAGUUGUUGACAACAGAUUUUGGGAUCAACUUCGGUUGUUGACGUUAUAUAAUUAUUUUCUAAUUUUUGCUUGGGGAUCAACUUCAGUUGUUUACACCACUGGUGGUGGUGGUGACGGGCGGUG
This is a long non-coding RNA of Papaver somniferum (opium poppy), 1084 nucleotides long. RefSeq lists it as uncharacterized. The record is from RefSeq and is a predicted model, not a curated record. The transcript is spliced from 4 exons. Lineage: Eukaryota; Viridiplantae; Streptophyta; Magnoliopsida; Ranunculales; Papaveraceae.